Molecule: ribosomal RNA, 433 nt
Filed under: uncultured bacterium
Lineage: Bacteria
Description: partial 16S ribosomal RNA
Rfam family: Bacterial small subunit ribosomal RNA
Source: RNAcentral
AGCGAACGCUGGCGGCAGGCCUAACACAUGCAAGUCGAACGAACUCUUCGGAGUUAGUGGCGGACGGGCGAGUAACACGUGGGAACGUGCCUUUUGGUUCGGAAUGACUCAGGGAAACUUGUGCUAAUACCGAAUGUGCCCUUCGGGGGAAAGAUUUAUCGCCAUUAGAGCGGCCCGCGUCUGAUUAGCUAGUUGGUGAGGUAACGGCUCACCAAGGCGACGAUCAGUAGCUGGUCUGAGAGGAUGACCAGCCACACUGGGACUGAGACACGGCCCAGACUCCUACGGGAGGCAGCAGUGGGGAAUCUUGCGCAAUGGGCGAAAGCCUGACGCAGCCAUGCCGCGUGAAUGAUGAAGGUCUUAGGAUUGUAAAAUUCUUUCACCGGGGACGAUAAUGACGGUACCCGGAGAAGAAGCCCCGGCUAACUUCGUG